Molecule: ribosomal RNA, 467 nt
Filed under: uncultured bacterium
Lineage: Bacteria
Description: partial 16S ribosomal RNA
Rfam family: Bacterial small subunit ribosomal RNA
Source: RNAcentral
GACGAACGCUGGCGGCGUGCUUAACACAUGCAAGUCGAACGGAAAGGCCCUGCUUUUGUGGGGUGCUCGAGUGGCGCACGGGUGUGUAACACGUGAGUAACCUGCCCUUGACUUUGGGAUAACUUCAGGAAACUGGGGCUAAUACCGGAUAGGAGCUCCUGCUGCAUGGUGGGGUUGGAAAGUUUCGGCGGUUGUGGAUGGACUCGCGGCUUAUCAGCUUGUUGGUGGGGUAGUGGCUUACCAAGGCUUUGACGGGUAGCCGGCCUGAGAGGGUGUCCGGCCACAUUGGGACUGAGAUACGGCCCAGACUCCUACGGGAGGCAGCAGUGGGGAAUAUUGCACAAUGGGCGGAAGCGUGAUGCAGCAACGCCGCGUGCGGGAUGACGGCCUACGGGUUGUAAACAGCUGUCGACUGUGACGAAGAGUGAGUGACGGUAAUGGGUAAAGAAGCACCGGCUAACUACGUG